GGUCCGAUAGCGUAAUGGUAACGCGUUACUUUCCGGUUUAGAACGCAUCCUAUUCCCUUCUGGUAAAGACUCUGGGUUCGAGUCCCAGUCGGAUCG
Molecule: non-coding RNA, 96 nt
Organism: Rhypophila decipiens
Lineage: Eukaryota; Fungi; Ascomycota; Sordariomycetes; Sordariales; Naviculisporaceae
Source: the annotation of a GenBank genome assembly